Molecule: long non-coding RNA, 5200 nt
Filed under: Sus scrofa (pig)
Lineage: Eukaryota; Metazoa; Chordata; Mammalia; Artiodactyla; Suidae
Description: lncRNA (ENSSSCG00055029685.1)
Source: RNAcentral
ACACUGGCUUGAUUUACUGUAGCUUUGUAGUAAGUUUUGAAACUAGGAAGUGUGACUACUCCAUCUUUGUUCUUCUUUUUCAAGAUUGUUUGGCUCUUCUGGGCCCAUUGCACUUAACACCUAAAUUUUAGGAUCAACUUUGAUUUCUGCAAAAAAAAGGUACCUGGGAUUUUGAAAGGUAUUGUGCUGACUCUGUAAAUCAGUCUGGGAGAUAUUGCAUUUUAACAAUAUCAAUUGUUCCAAUCCAUGAAUAUGCACUGUCUUAACACUUAUUUAGAUCUUUAAUUUUUUUCAACAAAAUUUUAUACUUUUCAAUUUAAAAGUCUUGCAUUUUUUUGUUACAUAUUACUAAGUAUUUUAUUCUUUUAGAGAGUGGGAUGGGAAUAGGGCAAGUGAAAACACCACAAAACUCACUGUUUUCACAGAGAUUUAGUCAUUUUUAUUGAAUAAAUGCUCUUCCAAUUGUUGUAAAUUGUUAAUUUGCAAAGUUUUGAAACAACCAUUCUUGCCAGUGUUCUCACUUCUUUCAUGGAGGAGUGGAUUUUCUGAAUUUUUUCUGACAUACCAGAAAUCAGAACUGUCUAUUAUUUAUACCACUGUCUUAUUUUAGUUAUCUGCCUGGUCUCCGAGGACAUUUGAGACAUCAAGGCAGGUGACUCAAACAGAGAGGUAUGACACAGAAGUUCAUCAGGUCACCAGGCAUCGUCAUGGCCAACGAGGUUAUAUUAACAGAUAUAUUGGGUUAAAGUUACCAAUAUGGAGGCCACAGGUAGGGUAGUGUCAAGGAGUCAUACUAGGAGUUGUUCCUCAGUGAACUGAAAGUCAAAGAGCCAUGAAGUGGCCAAUAAUCAGGUUUGUUUCUUGAUAGAGGCUCAAACCAAGAGGAAUAUCAUUACACCCCAAAUCUAGGAGAGACAAAUGCAUCUCAAAUGUCAACAUUAAUCAAUUCAUAGUUGUGACCUGGAGCUCGGUGUUGAGAAGACUCUAAUCACAUGUGGGCUUAGUGCCAAUCACUGAAUCAAUCAAUCAGAUCAACUAGAAAAUAAUGGCCACUCAAAUAGGGUGAAAGAGGAGAUUAAAGGGAUUAUUUAGGGAACUAUGGACAGAGUUAAAGGAAGUUAAUUAGGAGGGUCUUGUACUAUAGGCCAGAAAUAGUGAUUGCUGCUCUGAAGCCUGAACAACCUUCAUUCAGCAGGAUUGAUUAAAGAAAUGAGGGUUUUAGUGACUGAUGUAGAGUGGUUUUGUUUUUUUUGGGGGGGGGGCACACCUGUGGCAUAUGGAGGUUCCCAGGCUAGGGGUCUAAUUGGAGCUAUAGCUGCCAGCCACAGCCACAGCCACAGCCAUGCCAGAUCUAAGCCAGAUCUGUGACCUACACCACAGCUCAUGGCAAUGCCAGAUCCUUAACCCAUUGAGCGAAGCUAGGGAUCAGACCUACAACCUCAUGGUUCCUAGUCAGAUUCGUUUCUGCUGCGCCAUGACAGGAACACCUAGAGUUCUUUUUUUGGCCACUUCUUGUACCAUAACUGAGGUAGGUUGUAAUAAAAUCCAUACUUUUCCUUAAAAAUUUCAGAAUCUCUUGAUUGUAAAUGCUUGGGUAUAUUUUUAUAGGUGAACAAAUGCAAUUUAUUAUUAACUUCUAUCAAACAUUCCAACUCCAUCUAAUAUAUGAGAGAUUCUAAAUUACCAAGGAGCUGCACUAUAGAUUUAAUUAUCUUGCUGAAUCCUUACCACAAAUAAAUCAGCAUUGCAUUGUUUGAAAGCCCCCAAGACCACUCUCACUUCUGACACUAACUGCAAAUUUGAGGGUACCCAAGAUCCACCUCAGGUUCAAUAAUUUGCUAUGACCCGCGGAACUCACUAGAAGCUCUUAUACUCACAGUUAUAAUUUACUACAGUGAAAAGAUAGACAUUAAAAUCAGCAGAGACAAGAGGCACAUAGGCCAGUGUCAGGAGAGAUCUAAGCAUGACCUUCCAGUCUUCCCAGUGGAUUUGUGGACCCUGGUAGCUUCUCUUAGAAAUGCAUGAUAGAUACAUGAAGUAUUGCCAACUAUGACCCUUACCUGAGUUUUUGUGUCCAGAGUUUUUGUUGAGGUUGGUUGUAUAGUCAUGGUUAACUGUCUGUAUGGCUGACCUUAAUUCUCCAGCCCCUUCAGAGGUCAAACUAAUAUUGCAUGGUCCAAGACCUCCCACCAUAAGUCACGUGUUGCAUAGACCAUCUGGUGUUGUCUCCAGGUUCCCAAGUAAAUAAAGACACUCUUAUCAGGCAGGAUGUCCCAAGUAUCAGAAGUUACGUCACAGGAGCCAAGGGCAAAGGCUAGCUCCUUAGACAAGUUUAAUCCUUUACCACACAAGUAUGUAGAGUUAUAGAAUCGUAAUUUAAAAAACAGAAUGGGGGAUUCCUUCAAGCAGGCAGACAUCUGAUAGGGAUUUUCCUAUUGUCCUUGUAGCUCAUUGAUAUUUAGUGUAUGUAAGAACUAUUAUACACAAAAUUUUGCAUGCUGGACAUCCUGGGAUAUGUGAGGGAAUUUCAAGGGACUUUUUACUUUACAGCUUAACUUAUAAAAAUAUCUUGUCACUAUACCUAAUUCCCACCACAAUGAAAUACAUAAGCAGCUGCUGCUAUAAAGAAAUAAAAACAAAAGCAAACAAAAACACCCUAAAUAAAGAAAUUGUUUUUACAAAAGAAUAUAAUCUGGAAAUUGAACUUCUGCUACAGUUACAAUUUACAUUAUAGCCAUGAACAAGUUCCUGUUGUGGCUCAGCAGGUUAGGAACCCAACUAGUGUUCAUGAGGAUGCAGGUUUAAUCCCUGGCCUCACUCAGUGGAUUAAGGAGCUGGUGUUGCUAUGAGCUGUGGGGUCAAAUUGGAGCUGCAGCCACCAACCUAUGCCACUGCCAUAGUAACGCCCGAUCUGAGCCAUAUUUGUGACCAACACCACAGCUCACAGCAAUGUCAGAUCGCUGACCCACUGAGCAAGGCCAGGGAUUGAACUGCAUCUUCACAGACACCGGUUGGGCUCAUUUCUGCUGAGCCACAGCAGGAAUUCCCUGUCCUUAUUCUUGAAUUAGACUUUAGUUAAGCAUGGAAUUCUAUGUCGACCAUAAUUGCCUUCAGCAUUUUCAAGAUAUUACCCCACUAUCUUGCACCUAUUGUUGUGGGUGAGAAGUCCAUUGCCAUCAUGAUUGUCUUGCCUUUAUAGGCAAGAAUCUCUUUUCUCUAUUUGCUAUUAAAGCUUUUUCUCUUUACACCUGAUGUUUUGUGGUUUCACUAUUACGUGUCCAUUUCAUUUCAUUUUUCUAGCACAAAAUUGUUUGUUCCUUCAACUUGAAGGCUCUCAUUUUUCUUCAAUCCUAGAAAAUUCUCAACCAUUUUCUAGAAUAAGGUCCUGCUGCAAGCGAUACAAAGAAACAAGCAAAGCCCAGAAAACCUCUAAGUUAGUGUGGCUUAUACAAGAUAGAAAUUUCUUUCUCACAUAAAUUAGGUCUUCCAGGUAGUGUCUGAUGAUGUCAGGGGUUCAGGGACUCUUCUAUUUUAUUGAUCCACUAUCCUCAGCAAGCACAUUCUCUACUCAAACUUAAACUAUAACAUCUGCAUUCCAGUUGCUAGGAAGGAAGAAGUACAGAGACGUGCCUACCUCCUCCUUAUAAAUACAUUUCUGGCAGUUGUAACUGCUGUUUUAGUUACAUCUCAUACAUAGUCAUAUGGUCAAUCUAGAUACAUGGGAAGCUGGCAAAUACUGUCUUUAGUUGGGCAGCUGAAUUCCCAGCUAAAACUGGGUGAUUCUAUGAAUAAGGCAGAGGGGAAGAUCGGUUCCUGGGAACAACUAGUAGUCUCAAGCAUAGCCAUUUUUAUGAUUGCAAAUUUCUCUCACAUAUUCUCUAUUAUGUCUCUCUGAAACUCUUAGUAAUGUUCUAUUCUCUUUGCCUCUUUUUAAUGUUAUUUUUGUGUUACUUUCUGUGAGAGUUCUUCAGCUCUCAUUCCAAUUUACUGAUUUCCUUCCUUCCUUCCUUCCUUCCUUCCUUCCUUCCUUCCUUCCUUCCUUCCCUCCUUCCUUCCUUCCUUUCUUUCUUUCUUCACCAUGCCUGCAGCAUAUGGAAGUUUCCAGUCCAGGAAUUGAAUCUGAGCCAUAGCUGUGAUCUACGCUACAGCUGUGGCCAGAUCCUUUAACCCACUGCUCCAGGCAAGGGAUCAAACCUGUGACUCCAUAGCAACCCAAGCUGCUGCAGUCAAAUCCCAAACCUACUGUACCACAGCAGGAACUUCAAAUACCUUCUCUCUCUUUUUAUUUUUGGCUGUACCCACAGCACAUGGAAGUUUUAGGUUCAGUUUUUUUAGUAUAGUUUUUAUUCUCUUAUGUCUCAAAUCAUUCAAGAAUACUUACUUCAUAGUCUCUUUGCUCUGUAUCUGUAAUUCUUGGGGGAUAAAUUCUGCUAACUUCUUCCCAUAGAAGACAUAGAUAUAUAGAUACAGAUAUACAACAUAUACACACGUAUGUAUGUAGAUAUCUGUAUAUAUGUGUAUGUGUGUGUACGCACAUGUGUAUUUUUUUCAUCUCAUCUUGGGUAUUUCUAUGUUUCAUGGUUGUAGGAUUGUAAAGUUUAUGAUGGAGCAAUUUUGUUUUGUCUCUACCAGUGUCCUUCACGUUUCCCUGGUUCAAACCAGUUUUUCUGUUGCUACCUCAGUUUGAGUUUCCUGCACUGUUCAUGAAUACACAUUUGGCCCCUACUCUUGCGUAUAGCUCAGUUUGGGAGGUAUUUCAUGUGGGUGGUAAUCAGUCACUUUCUCCCCUAAUUCUCAGGCUAAUGGGAGGAUAUAUUCUAAAAUACUUUUCACAGCACAAAAGCUAUUCUGGAAUCCUGGUUCUAUGCUCAGCUCCAACUCCACUGCUCUUGGGAUCUCAAUUCCCCUUCCAGCUCAGCUCAGCUAUUAAAAUCCCAGGUCCUGGAGUUCCUGUAGCAGUUCAGUGGAAAUGAACCCAACUAGUAUCCACGAGGAUGCAGGUUCAAUUGUUCUAUCCCUGGCCUCAUUCAGUGGGUUAAUGAUCCGGUAUUGCUGAGAGCUGUGGUGUAGGUUGAAGUCAUGGCUCAGAUCAAGCACUGCUGUGGCUGUGGCAUAGGCUGGCCCCCAGCCUGGGAAUUUCCAUAUGCCAUAGUUCUAGCCCUUAAAAAAGAAAUUAAAAAAAAAAAAAGGAAAAAAAAAA